UACAGAGGGGGCAAGCGUUGUUCGGAAUUACUGGGCGUAAAGGGCGCGUAGGCGGCCUGCUAAGUCGAACGUGAAAUCCCCGAGCUCAACUCGGGAACUGCGUCCGAUACUGGCAGGCUUGAAUCCGGGAGAGGGAUGCGGAAUUCCAGGUGUAGCGGUGAAAUGCGUAGAUAUCUGGAGGAACACCGGUGGCGAAGGCGGCAUCCUGGACCGACACUGACGCUGAGGAGCGAAAGCCAGGGGAGCAAACGGG
This 253-nucleotide ribosomal RNA is filed under the name uncultured bacterium. RNAcentral's name for it is "partial 16S ribosomal RNA". It matches the Rfam family "Bacterial small subunit ribosomal RNA", at positions 524 to 776 of the family's 1533-position model. The record is from RNAcentral.